GAAGAACAAGACUAAGAAAAUUUAAGGUGAUUUGCAUUUAUAAUCAGCAAACGACUCAACAUAUCAGAAUGAGAAGAACAUUCAGGAAUCACCAGGCAGGACAAGAUCAAGGAGGCAACAAGGAAGCAUUUGUUUUGGCCAAAUAAAGUUUGCAGAUCUUUUAAUGCUAAUAUUAGUAAUAAAACCAUCACUGGGAUAUUGGUUUGGCAAUGUUUAAUUAAUGGCCCUGAGCUUUAUGAUCUUUAUUACAUAUGUAUUUAAUGCAACUACACAUACAUGUAAUAUGUACCAUGUAGGCUUAUUUAUUUAUAUUAAUAAUUAAUAUGAUCUUUUCAAACUUAGCCGAAGUUGUUCAACAUAAAAAUACUCAAAUAUUCAGUGUUCUUGAUUAAAUUAGCAUCAAUGGACAUAAUUAAAUAAAGAAAAUCGGAUUAUUACGAUGAUUGGUUUAGUUAGCUACAUUAGUGUUAUUUUGUCUAAUUAUCAAGGAUAACAUUUAAUUAUAUAUAAUAUGUCCUUCAUAUUUUCUCUUUUAAUUAAAAUCGUAAAAAGACUUGCAAUAUAGACCAUGCAUUUGUUAUGUUGUUUAUUGGAGUGAAUUGGUGUUUUUGUUGUGAUUGUCAAAUAUUGUCUUUGUAAGUUAUCUAUUUUGUAUAUAUGAAAUCAACGAGAGUUUCACUCUUAUGGAAGGAUGUUGCUAGGUACCAAGAAGUAAGAACUGAUAGUUGUGUUAAUUAAUUAGUAUAAGUUAGCUGAAUGUUCAAUGUUCAUGCUCUUUUGAGCUACAUAUGACAAUGAAAAUUGAGUUUCUGUGUAAAAUAUGAAGCUAUUCAAUCAAGCAACUCUGCUUUUCAAUUUUCUUACAUCUAAGUCAAAUAGCACUCUUUUAUAAAUCUUCGAGAGAACAAAGCUAAUGCAGGUUCGUACUUAUUAAAUUUAACAUCAGACAAUGAAGUGUAAAAAGUGAAAUUCUUAUCUAUGAUAAACACCUAAAAUAAUUGCAUUGAGUUUUUCAAUUUUCAAAUUUUCAUUGCUAACUCAACAAUUGAGAGACUGAAACAUAUGGAAUAAGAAAUUAACAUAUUCAACCCAAAAGAUUAUUCAACUUAGAUGAUUCAAUAUAACACCUAAUAAGCUUAUGAGUCUUAUUUAAGGAAUAUUAUAAUUUUACUUGGAUUGCUAGAAAUCACGGGAUGUUAUUCAUUUAAGCAUGUGAUACACUUGUUUGAUGAAUUGCUUAUAUGAGUAGAUUAGAUUUUUAUUUUGGUCAUAUUUCUUAUUUUUCUAAUCCCAUCUGUCCCCUAUUCCCUAUCCCGCAUCAAAUGGUGAUAAGAGUUUCCCUAUCAUAUGUCGAACCCAUUAAAGCCAAAAGUAAGAAGUUAAAGAACUAUUUUGUACUGGUUAUACAAAGAACUAUAUUACAAUACUCCACACCCACCCAAAAAAAAAAAAAAAAAUGAAGGCACCAUUCAUACUUCCAAAUCCAGCACUAGCACUUGAAAACAAUAUAAACAAAGGAAUUUGCCAAUAAAAAAGUCAGCUGCAGAAAGCCAAGAAGAUGCAACUAGAAGCUAAGGGAUGUAAGGGAAGGAAAUCUAUUCCGAAAGAACUCCAAAUUGAAUUCAGCAAGUAACAUUGACUUGCCCAGUUACAAAAGGAAGCCACUUUAAUCCUUUAAGAUGAUUCUGAUGAAAUUGGUUCCCUGUAUUGAAACAAUAAACUGCACCAAGGAUAGCACUAAAGGCAGAGCCAGAUUACAAGGGAAGAAAAAAGGGAGGAAAAAAAAUUUUACAACAUGAAAUUGGACUUUUGUUUUAUCUUCCACAAGCAAGAAGUUCGACUAGAAAAGUAUAAAACAAGUACAAAAUAUGAAAUUUUUAGCAAUCUUACAAAAUCACACCUAAAUCUCAAUAAGAUUGUACAUAGUUUUAGUAAAGCUCUACAACUAUUUAUUUAACACCUAAUAAGAUCAUCUCCAUAAUUUUAAAAGCUUACACAAAGAAAGAAUACUUUUGAAUACAAAUAUACAAUGGAGUAGAGAACAAAAAAUGACAUAGAGGGAAAAAAAACACCAAGAGCAGAAAGAGUACAUAUACCAUCUCUAGCCCAUAAUUCAGACUUAUCCCCAUUGCACUUAUAAAUCAAGAUAUGAAGUUUAGGGUCUAAAGUCUUCAACUCCUUGUAGUUCUUCUCCACAGAUGAUCUGUAAAAGUUAUAAGAGAAAGGUAAUUAGUUUGCAACUCUUUCUAGCAAGUUGAUUAGUAAUUCCUAAACAAGUUUAUAGCUUAUUAAUUAUAGUUGGAAUGCCCCCAAAGUUACUAAAACACAAACAAUAGAAACAAUGAGUUUUAAAUUAGUUGUGAGCAAUGCAUAUUCUACCAUCAUUCUCAUUUUGGUCUCCCAUGAAUAUGAUGGCAAUAUGUAUAAUGGUAUUUUCCCAAUAUCAGACUAAGACAACAUCUUUAUAACAAUAAUUCUGACAUUUUCUACUAUUUUUAUUUUUUUGCUAACAAAAUGUACAUCAGAACAUAAAUUUGAAGAAAAAUAAAAUUUAAGCAUACUCAUGUCAUUUAAUCAUAAAAAUGAAUAUCAAAAUUAAGCCUAGAUCUCAACAAUUAAACUCUAAACAAAUUAAACCAAAAAAAAAAAAAACAGCUACCCAAAUGAUGGCGUUAAAAGGUUUGAGGACUUGUACGAUAUCCAACAUUUGCGAACAUUUUUACCGAAAAUCUUCGUCAUCUAUCAUACAUUCCUGAAUAUUGUGAUGGCGUUAAAAGGUUUGAGGACUUGUACGAUAUCCAACAUUUGCGAACAUUUUUACCAGUAACGUUGUCAAAUAGUUCGCGUGGACACUUGGCUUAUAGCAUUCUUCCUAAGUUGUUCAAACUCCAACGCUUGAGGGUCUUCUCUUUGUUUGGAUACCGCAUCUCUGAGCUACCAAAUUCAGUUGGUGAUUUGAGGUAUUUAAGGUACCUUAACCUGUCUGGAACUGAGAUUAGAACUCUACCUGAAUCAGUCAGCAAGCUUUACAAUUUGCAUAGUCUUUUGUUGGAAGAUUGUGAUCGGCUGGAGAAGUUGUGUGCACACAUGGGAAAUCUCGUCAAAUUGCAUCAUCUUAAGAAUUCAAAUACGAAGUCGUUGGAGGAAAUGCCGGUAGGAAUUGGCAGGCUGACUUGUCUUCAGACGUUGUGUAAUUUUAUUGUGGGAAAAGACAGUGGUUCCGGGUUAGGAGAGCUAAAGUUGUUGACGCAACUUAGGGGGACACUUUGCAUUUCAAAUUUGGAGAAUGUAAAACACAUUGUUGAUGCCGAGGACGCUCAAUUGGAUAGAAAGGAGAAUCUUAAAGAAUUAUGGUUUCGAUGGACACUCUAUGGCUCGUAUCCAAGGGAGGCAGAAACUGAAAUGGGCGUGCUUGACAUGCUAAAACCUCAUACAAAUCUGGAGCAAUUUUGUAUCAAAGGCUAUGGAGGUAUGAAAUUUCCAACUUGGUUGGGAGAUUCCUCAUUCUCAAAAUUGGUGACCCUAAAAUUUAAAAAUUGUGACAUGUGUACUGCCCUGCCGUCUGUCGAGCAACUGCCCUCUCUAAAGCAUCUUACAGUGCGUGGAAUGAGCAAAGUAAAGAGAUUGGGUUCAGAGUUCUAUGGGGAUGACUCUCCAAUUCCAUUUCCAUGCUUGGAGACUCUUCGUUUUGAAGACCUGCAAGAAUGGGAAGACUGGAUUCCUCAUGGAUCCAGUCAGGGAGUUGAACGGUUUCCUAAAUUGAGAGAGCUUCGCAUUUUAAGAUGUUCUAAACUGAAAGGAACAUUUCCAGAGCACCUUCCUGCAUUGGAGAUGCUUGUUAUUGAAGGAUGUGAAGAAUUGUUAGUUUCAGUUUCGAGUCUUCCAGCUCUUUGCAAAUUUAUAAUUGGUGGAUGCAAAAAGGUUGUGUGGGAAAGUGCAACUGGUCAUCUCGGAUCACAGAAUUCAGUGGUUUGUAGAGAUACCUCAAAUCAAGUGUUUCUUGCGGGGCCAUUGAAGCCACAACUACCGAAAUUGGAAGAAUUGGAGAUAAAUGAUAUGAAAGAGCAGACGUAUAUAUGGAAGAGUCAUAACGAAUUACUGCAAGACGUUUGCUCUCUCAGAAGACUGACGAUUGCAAGCUGUCCCAAACUUCAAUCCUUGGUGGCGGAGGAAGAGAAAGACCAACAACAGCAGCUCUGCGAGUUGUCAUGCAGACUUGAAUAUCUAGCAUUGAGCGGAUGCGAAGGCCUUGUGAAGCUGCCACAAUCAUCGCUCAACCUCAAUUCCUUGAGAGAGAUAGAAAUCUACGGCUGCAAGUCCCUUGUUUCCUUUCCUGAGGUUGCUCUGCCUUCCAAGUUGAAGAAAAUUCAGAUUAGAGAAUGUGACGCACUGAAAUCGUUACCAGAGGCAUGUAUGUGCGACACCAAUUCGUCUCUCGAGAUCUUGGAGAUUUUGGAUUGCCAUUCGUUGACAUAUAUUGCUGGAGUCCAGCUACCACCGAGCCUUAAGAGGUUGCACAUCACUUCUUGCGAUAAUAUAAGGACUUUGACAGUGGAAGAGGGCAUCCAGUGUAGCAAUAGCAGUACUUAGGUAUUGUCGAUUGUCGAUCUCUGACAUGUAUAUUUUCAAAAAACGAGUUACCUACCACGCUUGAGUCCCUUGAAGUUGGCAAUCUACCUCCGUCUCUUAAGGGCCUUUAUGUUUAUGGAUGUUCGAAGCUGGAGUCAAUAGCAGAAAGGUUGGACAACAACACAUCUCUUGAAUACAUCAACAUUUAUAAUUGUGAAAAUUUGAAGAUUUUACCGAGUGGUUUACAUAAUCUCCGCCAGCUUCAAGAGAUUACUAUACAGAGGUGUGGAAAUCUGGUGUCCUUUCCCGAAGGGGGAUUGCCUUGUGCGAAACUGACUAGGCUCGAUAUCCGCGACUGUGGGAGACUAGAGGCCUUACCACAGGGAUUGCACAAUCUGACCUCUCUUCAAGAAUUAAUAAUAAUAAGAGGUGAGCUUCCAAGCCUUGAAGAAGAUGGCCUUCCCACCAACCUUCAUUCCCUUAGUAUUCGGGGUAAUAUGGAGAUUUGGAAGUCAAUGAUUGAGCGGGGCUGGGGAUUUCACAGAUUCUCCUCUCUGCGACAACUUACAAUCAUGAAUUGUGAUGACGACAUGGUGUCAUUCCCACCAAAGGCAGAUGACAAAGGAUCGGAGACCGCGCUUCCUCUUCCUGCCUCUCUAACAACUCUGAGGAUUCACAAUUUUCCAAAUCUGGAACGCCUAUCUUCUUCAAUUGUUGAUCUUCAAAACCUCACUGAAUUGCGACUCAUUGGUUGUCCCAAGCUCAAAUACUUUCCGGAGUAGGGCCUGCCUUCCUCACUUUUGCAUUUAAGAAUCGUGGAUUGUCCGUUGAUAGCAGAGAAGUGCAGAAAGGAUGGAGGACAAUAUUGGGACUUAUUAACCCAUAUACCGCAUGUUGAUAUAAAUGGUAAAAUAGGUUUUUGAUGACUGAAAUGUUUUAUUAUUAGAAAUUUUCUUUUUUAGUUGGGUGUGUUUGUGAAUGUAAUUUCAAAUCUUAGUUGAAAACUAUUUUUCUUUUGCAAUUACAGAUGUUGAGAUGUCCGUUGAUGGAAGAGAAGUGCAGAAAGGAUGGAGGACAAUAUUGGGACUUGUCAACCCAUAUACCUUAUGCUCGAAUAGGUUUUUGAUGACGACUCAACAGAGGACGACUAAUGAAUGGGUAGAGGUCGACUAAUCAAUGGGUUCGCAUUAUUUAGCUAGCAAAGGAGGAGGACUCUAUUAAUUAAUUAAUUAAUUAAUUUCUCAUUCUCAGCUGUUGAAACUUCAGUUUCUUAUAUUUGUCUUUUCCGCAGUACAGUUACAUAUAUUUGUCCUUUACAUAAUUUCUUAUGUAAAAUAUUUUAUUAUUAGAAUUUUUUUUUUCUUUUAAAUCAAGCGUGUUUGUGUAUGUAAUUUUAAAAUUCAAAUUUGGCUGUUGAAAUAAACUUCAGUUUCUUUUAUUUGGCUGUACGGUUAAAUAUGUGUAAUAUUUCUCUUCAUCAGACUUCGACAAAAAUUGUUAAUGUUCUUAUUAGUAAUUAAUUAGUACGGUAGUGUUCUUCUUUUGUUCCACAAUUUAUCAAAAGCAUUUUACUACAUAAUCUUUGUACAUGUACAUCGUCAUCAAAUCCCAUAACACCCAAAACAGAAAAUCAAAAGAAAACAAGAACAUGCCACACAAUAUCAAAAACGAAAAGAACAUUAUAACACCAAGUAUUAUAUUUCUCUAAUUAUAUUUCGGCUUUAGUGGCCUUAACUUAAAAUCUCCUCCAGAACAAUCUGCCUCCUCAGCAAUAAUGUUAUAAUGUUCUUUUGAUGUUGUUGUUUUUUUAGGUGCUACUUAAACAGAUGAGGGCUGGGCCGCGUUACAAAAUUAUUUGUAAUUUUUAAUUUAAUUGUUUAUGUGCCAUCGCUAUUAAUAUUAACCGAUAAAUACAAUUUUAUCAAUUACUGAAUAUUUGAAUUCAUCAAAACUGUUAUAAUUGAUCAGGAAGUCCAACUUUGUAGCUAUAAUAUGCUAUUUUCAUAAGACUUCGUUAAAGAUUGUUUUGUAAUUAAUUUCACACAACACAACCCUACAGAAAAUUGACCAAAACAAAAUGAAAUAUCAAGGCUGUAAUUAGCACUUGAUCAAAGGAAAAGAAGAAACAAAUGAAUUUGUAAGGAGUACUGCGAUACGUAUAUGAAUUUGUUUAGAGUUCUUUAUCAUAAAAAAAAUCAAUUGUAUGUCCUUCGUAUUUUCUCUAUAAAAACUUGCAUUAUAGAAAAUCAAAAGAGAAACAGCAUCCCAGAAUGCCAAAAAAAUAUCAGAAACAAAAAUCAAACAAAGCAAUUAAAAAGCAUUUGCUUGUGAUGCCAUGACCAUGAAUGCUACUGCCAUAACAAGAAAUGGCAUUGCAAGACUGUAGAAUGCCACAUGUGCGAAUGAGAAGAACAUUACAAAUCAACAAUUCAAAGAAAAAAGAAGAAUUUAAACCAGCUAAAAGGAUAGGCAUUAGGUAGAAUUUCACACAAAAAACAAGACUAAGAAAAUUUAAGGUGAUUUGCAUUUAUAAUCAGCAAAUGAGUCAACAUAUCAGAAUGAGAAGAACAUUCAGGAAUCACCAGGCAGGACAAGAUCAAGGAGGCAACAAGGAAGCAUUUGUUUUGGCCAAAUAAAGUUUGCAGAUCUUUUAAUGCUAAGAUUAGUAAUAAAACUAUCACUGGGAUAUUGGUUUGGCAAUGUUGAAUUAAUGGCCCUGAGUUUUAUGAUCUUUAUUACAUAUGUAUUUAUUGCAACUACACAUACAUGUAAUAUGUACCUUGUAGGCUUAUUUAUUUAUAUUAAUAAUUAAUAUGAUCUUUUCAAACUUACACGAAGUUGUUGAACAUAAAAAUACUCAAAUAUUCAGUGUUCUUGAUUAAAUUAGCAUCAAUGGACAUAAUUAAAUAAAGAAAAUCGGAUUAUUACGAUGAUUGGUUUAGUUAGCUACAUUAGUGUUAUUUUGUCUAAUUAUCAAGGAUAACAUUCAAUUAUAUAUAAUAUGUCCUUCAUAUUUUCUCUUUUAAUUAAAAUCGUAAAAAGACUUGCAAUAUAG
RNAcentral lists this long non-coding RNA (7624 nucleotides) under Citrus maxima (pomelo). Its description in RNAcentral is "long non-coding RNA (CMAX_LNC001152)". The record is from RNAcentral. Lineage: Eukaryota; Viridiplantae; Streptophyta; Magnoliopsida; Sapindales; Rutaceae.